GCCGAAGUGGUGGAAUUGGUAGACACGCCAGGUUCAGGGUCUGGUCCUCGCAAGGGGGUGAAGGUUCGAGUCCUUUCUUCGGCACCA
RNAcentral lists this transfer RNA (87 nucleotides) under Desulfovibrionaceae bacterium. RNAcentral's name for it is "tRNA-Leu". It matches the Rfam family "tRNA". Rfam says of the family: Transfer RNA (tRNA) molecules are approximately 80 nucleotides in length. Their secondary structure includes four short double-helical elements and three loops (D, anti-codon, and T loops). Lineage: Bacteria; Pseudomonadati; Thermodesulfobacteriota; Desulfovibrionia; Desulfovibrionales; Desulfovibrionaceae. The record is from RNAcentral.